CAGUAGCCGCGGUAAUACGGAGGGGGCUAGCGUUGUUCGGAAUUACUGGGCGUAAAGCGCACGUAGGCGGCUUGGUAAGUUAGAGGUGAAAGCCCGGAGCUCAACUCCGGAAUUGCCUUUAAGACUGCCGAGCUAGUAGGUGAGAGAGGUAAGUGGAAUUCCGAGUGUAGAGGUGAAAUUCGUAGAUAUUCGGAAGAACACCAGUGGCGAAGGCGGCUUACUGGCUCAUUCUAGACGCUGAGGUGCGAAAGCGUGGGGAGCAAACAGGAUUAGAUACCCCCGUAGUCCCUGUCUCUUAUAC
RNAcentral lists this ribosomal RNA (301 nucleotides) under uncultured bacterium. Its description in RNAcentral is "partial 16S ribosomal RNA". It matches the Rfam family "Bacterial small subunit ribosomal RNA", at positions 509 to 807 of the family's 1533-position model. The record is from RNAcentral.